RNAcentral lists this long non-coding RNA (1854 nucleotides) under Triticum aestivum (bread wheat). RNAcentral describes it as "long non-coding RNA (TAES_LNC019207)". The record is from RNAcentral. Lineage: Eukaryota; Viridiplantae; Streptophyta; Magnoliopsida; Poales; Poaceae.
AAACAAGCAUUGGUGGUAGACAUGAUGGAGCUGAUCUUUUGCAUAAUACAUAAGAUGAUUCUCCGGUCAGAUAUGCUAUGUGAUGUACCGGUUGAAUAGGUAACCUUAUCUUCUGCAUGUAUGUUGAACUAUCUAAACUAUUCUUAUAAAACGAAUCACUUUGAUUCUUUACCAUCAUUUCUCAAGUACCAAAUUGCAAGUGAGGACUCUUUUAAGAUUUUCUCUACAACUCUUUGCUUAACUCUUCCCACCUGGCCACCUUCUAUCAUGCUUUGUCAGGCUAAAUAUUUAAUCUUUUCUCCAAGCUCAGCUUUCUCAUUCCUUCCUCAUCAGCCCUUCAUUCUCUUCCUGAUGACUUUUAAUUGUUGAUCUUCCAAGUUUAUGCUGGCACUGGGUGGGCUCUUCUCCCUCUGCCCCCUCUAGUAAUUGGUGACUUAGGACCGCUCCUCAUUUCCUAUGUGUGCAUAUGAUAGUGCCUUGUCAGAGAUGAAAAUGCUUUCAUGCUAGGAUAUAUUUCUGUCUUAUUUUUACUCAUUGCUGCAUUGCCUUUGACUUCUGUUUUCCGUGGCCAUGGGUCUAUUGUGUCCUAGUGUGAUCUGAAUAUACAUAAGUGAUUUAUAACUGACAAUACUUGUGCAUCUGGUUUCAAAUUUCCUUUUUUUAGCGGACUUAUAGGUUUGCCAUUUUACGUUGCUUCUUAUUUGGAUCAUUAUGAUACCUAGUGAACUAACAACUGUCACUAGAUUAAAUAGUAUUCUUCUAUUUAUCUUUUCACUGCGGUUAUUGUAGAUUUAUGGAUGAUUGUUCUAGUUUUAGGCUUUUUGGUCAAACGUUUUCUCAUCAUGUCACUCGUUAUCCGCCAAACUUGCAUAUGUAUGUAACUGUCUAUUAGCCACCAAUAUGAUUUGGCUGGUCCAAACUAUAGGUAGUAUGCUUUGUGUGGAGUAUAAUUUUUUUUUCAGUUUUGGCCAUUAUUGAUGUUUAAUACUUCAUACUAUGAAACACAUGAGCAAAAUGGCAUGACUAGAUUCACCAAAAAAAACUUAUUUUAUCCUAAUGCCAGUUUUUUUAUAUUACUGGCAUAUUAUCACUAAAGUAGUGGUAAAAGUAUUGCUUGAUGAUGCGGAGAGUAAAAAAUAACAAUCCUUUUGGACCGAAGGAAGUCUGAAUAGUAUGCAUGAUCUCAGUUAUAUGUACUCCGAGAAUUUGAUGAAAAUCAAUUUGUUAGUGACUAGGUAGUUGUACAUUCCUAAAAAGUAUGCCUUGGAGCUAGAACCUGCUAUCCUACCCCAUGAGCCUCUACACACAAGAUGUAUUGCCUUUUGUUGUUCUCUGUUUCAAUUGUUGAUUUUCUCUAAUAACGGUGUGAUGGUUUGACGCCGGAGCUUAUGACACAAUUUCCACAAUUGUGAAGCCAAUGUUUUCUAGUUGAAUCAUGGAAGAAUUAGGACAACAAUCCCAACAACUUCUGAUGAAUGAGUAGUACAAGGUUUUACUGAUGAUAUUUUUUUUUGCUCCACAGGUAUCUACAAUUACAUUCUGGUGUCUCGGAUGCAAAAAUGGGUUGUCAAGUGUAGUUUCUUCCAUUUGUAUGCUCGACGCCGAGAUACCAACCCAGCAUGAACACAGCUCUUUAUUCUGAAGUGAACUUUCUUGCAUAUGAUUAUCUUCCAUGUUGUAUCAGCGGGGAGGGAUUUGUAUGUCGGAUUUCAUGUAUGCGUGUGUUUGUUGAAUUUCUACCUGGUUUCGAACUCAGUAUUUGGAGCCUUAAUUUGCUUAGUUGUGACUGAUGAAUGUUGAAUCCCAUCAGUGAGACCUGGGAGUUGGAAGAUGCUCCGAUAUGUUGGAAUUAAU